This 421-nucleotide ribosomal RNA is filed under the name uncultured bacterium. Its description in RNAcentral is "bacterial SSU rRNA". It matches the Rfam family "Bacterial small subunit ribosomal RNA", at positions 357 to 770 of the family's 1533-position model. The record is from RNAcentral.
GGGAAUAUUGCACAAUGGGCGCAAGCCUGAUGCAGCCAUGCCGCGUGUAGGAAGAAGGCCUUCGGGUUGUAAAGUACUUUCAGCGGGGAGGAAGGCGAUAAGGUUAAUAACCUUGUCGAUAGACGUUACCCGCAGAAGAAGCACCGGCUAACUCCGGGCUAGCAGCCGCGGUAAUACGGAGGGUGCAAGCGUUAAUCGGAAUUACUGGGCGUAAAGCGAACGCAGGCGGUCUGUCAAGUCGGAUGUGAAAUCCCCGGGCUCAACCUGGGAUCUGCAUUCGAAACUGGCAGGCUAGAGUCUUGUAGAGGGGGGUAGAAUUCCAGGUGUAGCGGUGAAAUGCGUAGAGAUCUGGAGGAAUACCGGUGGCGAAGGCGGCCCCCUGGACAAAGACUGACGCUCAGGUGCGAAAGCGUGGGGAGCA